CACGUAGGGGGCGAGCGUUGUCCGGAAUCAUUGGGCGUAAAGAGCUCGUAGGCGGCUCAGUAAGUCGGGUGUGAAACCCUCAGGCUCAACCUGGGGACGCCACUCGAUACUGCUGUGGCUAGAGUCCAGUAGGGGAGUGUGGAAUUCCCGGUGUAGCGGUGAAAUGCGCAGAUAUCGGGAAGAACACCCGUGGCGAAGGCGGUUCUCUGGGACGGUACUGACGCUGAGACGCGAAAGCGUGGGGAGCGAACAGG
RNAcentral lists this ribosomal RNA (254 nucleotides) under uncultured bacterium. Its description in RNAcentral is "partial 16S ribosomal RNA". It matches the Rfam family "Bacterial small subunit ribosomal RNA", at positions 524 to 776 of the family's 1533-position model. The record is from RNAcentral.